RNAcentral lists this transfer RNA (73 nucleotides) under Bacteriophage sp. RNAcentral describes it as "tRNA-Gly". It matches the Rfam family "tRNA". From Rfam's summary of the family: Transfer RNA (tRNA) molecules are approximately 80 nucleotides in length. The record is from RNAcentral.
GCGGGAUUGGUGUCAAUGGUUAGCAUACGACUCUUCCAAAGUCAAGGAGACAGUUCGAGUCUGUUAUCCCGCA